AGCCACUGCUAUCGGAGUCCGACUAAGCCAUGCAAGUCGAUCGGGUAAGACCCGAGGCAGACGGCUCAGUAACACGUGGCUAACCUACCCUCGGGUGGAGGAUAACCUCGGGAAACUGAGGAUAAUCCUCCAUAGAUCUAGGAUGCUGGAACGCACCUAGAUCGAAAGCUCCGGCGCCCGAGGAUGGGGCUGCGGCCUAUCAGGUUGUAGUGGGGGUAAUGGCCCCACUAGCCUACGACGGGUACGGGCUGUGAGAGCUGGAGCCCGGAGAUGGACCCUGAGACAAGGGUCCAGGCCCUACGGGGCGCAGCAGGCGCGAAACCUCCGCAAUGCACGAAAGUGCGAUGGGGGGACUCCGAGUGCCUACGCUUUGCGUAGGCUUUUCCUGAGCCUAAAAAGCUCAGGGAAUAAGGGCUGGGCAAGACGGGUGCCAGCCGCCGCGGUAAUACCCGCAGCUCUAGUGGUGGCCGCUAUUAUUGGGCCUAAAACGUCCGUAGCCGGUCUGGUAAAUGCCCGGGUAAAUCAUGGGGCUCAACCUCAUGAAUUCCGGGCAGACUGCUAGACUUGGGACCGGGAGAGGCCGGAGGUACUCCAGGGGUAGGGGUGAAAUCCUGUAAUCCCUGGGGGACCACCUGUGGCGAAAGCGUCCGGCCAGAACGGGUCCGACGGUGAGGGACGAAGCCCAGGGGCGCAAACCGGAUUAGAUACCCGGGUAGUCCUGGGUGUAAACGCUACCCGCUUGAUGUUAGGUAGGCUUCGGGCCUACCUAGUGUCGGAGCGAAGGUGUUAAGCGGGUUGCCUGGGGAGUAUGGCCGCAAGGCUGAAACUUAAAGGAAUUGGCGGGGGAGCACUGCAACGGGUGGAGCGUGCGGUUU
This 875-nucleotide ribosomal RNA is filed under the name uncultured archaeon. Its description in RNAcentral is "bacterial SSU rRNA". It matches the Rfam family "Archaeal small subunit ribosomal RNA", at positions 21 to 903 of the family's 1478-position model. The record is from RNAcentral.